This 254-nucleotide ribosomal RNA is filed under the name uncultured bacterium. RNAcentral's name for it is "partial 16S ribosomal RNA". It matches the Rfam family "Bacterial small subunit ribosomal RNA", at positions 524 to 776 of the family's 1533-position model. The record is from RNAcentral.
UACGUAGGGGGGCAAGCGUUGUCCGGAUUUAUUGGGCGUAAAGAGCGUGUAGGCGGCCAUGCAGGUCAGCUGUGAAAACUCGAGGCUCAACCUCGAGACGUCGGUUGAAACCGUAUGGCUAGAGUCCGGAAGAGGAGAGUGGAAUUCCCGGUGUAGCGGUGAAAUGCGCAGAUAUCGGGAAGAACACCCGUGGCGAAGGCGGCUCUCUGGGACGGUACUGACGCUGAGACGCGAAAGCGUGGGGAGCAAACAGG